GGAUUGCUCAGUCGGUUAGAGGAUGGUGCUGAUAACGCCAAGGUUGCAGGUUCGAUCCCUGUCGGGGACA
Podarcis lilfordi (Lilford's wall lizard) is the source of this 70-nucleotide non-coding RNA. NCBI's taxonomy places the organism in Eukaryota, Metazoa, Chordata, Lepidosauria, Squamata, Lacertidae. The record is from the annotation of a GenBank genome assembly.